Molecule: ribosomal RNA, 397 nt
Filed under: uncultured bacterium
Lineage: Bacteria
Description: partial 16S ribosomal RNA
Rfam family: Bacterial small subunit ribosomal RNA
Source: RNAcentral
CCUACGGGUGGCAGCAGUGAGGAAUAUUGGUCAAUGGGCGCAAGCCUGAACCAGCCAAGUCGCGUGAAGGAUGACUGCCCUACGGGUUGUAAACUUCUUUUAUCAGGGAGUAAAGUGCGCCACGUGUGCCUUUUUGUAUGUACUUUAUGAAUAAGGAUCGGCUAAUCCCGUGCCCGCAGCCGCGGGAAUACGGAGGGACCGAGCGUUUUCCGGGUUUAUUUGGUUUAAAGGGGGCGGUGAGGGGUAGUUAAGUCAGUUGUGAAAGUGUGCGGGUCAAACGUAAAAUUGCCAUUGAUACUGGCAGUCUUGAGUGCAGGUGAGGUAUGCGGAAUGCGUGGUGUAGCGGUGAAAUGCUUAGAUAUCACGAAGAACUCCGAUUGCGAAGGCAGCUUACUAA